CAGUAGCCGCGGGAAUACGAAGGGGGCUGGCGUUGCUCGGAAUCACUGGGCGUAAAGGGUGCGUAGGCGGGUCUUUAAGUCAGGGGUGAAAUCCUGGAGCUCAACUCCAGAACUGCCUUUGAUACUGAAGAUCUUGAGUUCGGGAGAGGUGAGUGGAACUGCGAGUGUAGAGGUGAAAUUCGUAGAUAUUCGCAAGAACACCAGUGGCGAAGGCGGCUCACUGGCCCGAUACUGACGCUGAGGCACGAAAGCGUGGGGAGCAAACAGGAUUAGAUACCCCUGUAGUCCCUGUCUCUUAUAC
Molecule: ribosomal RNA, 301 nt
Filed under: uncultured bacterium
Lineage: Bacteria
Description: partial 16S ribosomal RNA
Rfam family: Bacterial small subunit ribosomal RNA
Source: RNAcentral